Molecule: ribosomal RNA, 450 nt
Filed under: uncultured bacterium
Lineage: Bacteria
Description: partial 16S ribosomal RNA
Rfam family: Bacterial small subunit ribosomal RNA
Source: RNAcentral
GUGGGGAAUUUUGGACAAUGGGCGCAAGCCUGAUCCAGCAAUGCCGCGUGCAGGAAGAAGGCCUUCGGGUUGUAAACUGCUUUUGUACGGAACGAAACGGUCCUGGUUAAUACCUGGGGCUAAUGACGGUACCGUAAGAAUAAGCACCGGCUAACUACGUGCCAGCAGCCGCGGUAAUACGUAGGGCGCGAGCGUUAAUCGGAAUUACUGGGCGUAAAGCGUGCGCAGGCGGUGCUGUAAGACAGGCGUGAAAUCCCCGGGCUCAACCUGGGAAUUGCGCUUGUGACUGCAGUGCUGGAGUACGGCAGAGGGGGAUGGAAUUCCGCGUGUAGCAGUGAAAUGCGUAGAUAUGCGGAGGAACACCGAUGGCGAAGGCAGUCCCCUGGGCCUGUACUGACGCUCAUGCACGAAAGCGUGGGGAGCAAACAGGAUUAGAAACCCCUGUAGUCC